UCCAAUAGGAUUCAACCUUUGGCUUGCUGAAAUGCAUUUGGAAACAUUGUUGCGCUUGUACAGAACUUUUAGGAAAAGAAAAUACGUUAAAUUACAUAUAUGUCGACGGUUAAACUACCAGACCACGUAUUUCGUUUGCGGUGUUUAGAAAUCUCUGCUUCCAUUUUAUUUUUUUGAAGGAGAACGAAUGAAUAUCACGCCUCACAGUUUUCACAGGAUUUGCUUCACACAGAGAAGAAAGAUCUCGUAAGUUUUCAAAAAUUGACGUUGAUUCGUUUUCCCUUUAAAAAAUAAAGUCGGACAGGAAGUUUGCAACGUCGCAAACCGAGAUACGUGGUCUGCUAGUUUCAUCGGCGAUAUGUACUUAGCACAUAGAGGGUUAAGAAUCUAACAUGCAUUUUAUCCUUUCAACAGUGGGGCCUCCCAAAAGGCACGUCAGAAUCCGUUUUCGAUAUGGUUGCACCUGUCACGACGCCGGCACCUGUAGCAGAAGAGUUGGAUAGGAUGAGCGAGUUCCUCAUUCUGAUGGAAGAGCACCCGGAGCGCUAUGUCGACAAGACUCUCUUCCUGAGGCGAGCGAUGGAGCCGAGGGUAACAGUAGUCACUCGCCCGCGCGGUUUCGGCAAGACACUCAUGCUUUCCAUGCUCGAAUACUUCCUCGAUGCUCAACAACCCAACUCAUCGACCGACCUCUUCAAGAACCUUAGCAUCAUGAGGGAUACCGAGUUCGUGCGGAGGCACAAGCAUAAGUAUCCAAUCAUCAGGCUCGACUUCGGAGGCGUCAAGAACGCCACCUUUGCGGAGAACUUCCGGGUCUUGAAGUCUGUUGUUGCCGCAGCGUACCUUUGUCAUAGCGCACGACUCCUGCACCAAGAUGAAGCGGUGAUAGACAGCGCAGCAAAGGAAGUAUACAGGAGUAUAAUGGAGAAACACGGCGAUGAGAAUUUGUACUUGGGAGCAAUCCAGCGGUUGUGCAAAUUCAUUUACAACUCCGAGGGUGUUCGCCCAAUCAUCUGAUCGAUGAGUAUGACACGCCUCUCCUAACGGCGCUCGAUACCGGGCACUUUCAUGCUAUGAUCAAGUUCAUGCGCGGUUUUUACCGUCAAACUCUCGACCCGAGAGAAAAUGAUUCUUUCGAGAAAAGUGUUCUCACCGGCGUUACGAAUGUCCAUACUAUCAUCCUGGAGCACUUCCGAGAUGAAGUGAAAGUAUAUUCGAUCUUCGAUGAUGAGUGCUCGAACUUUUUUGGCUUCACACAGGCAGAGGGUGAGACAGCAACAACAAUUAUAUUCCUAGGAAUCUUUAGAGAUUAUAUCAGAAUAGACCGCUAGACAAGGUACGAAGUUAAGCAUUCUGAUGUACCUAUGUUUCCUAACCAAAAUAUCACGUAGAGCAGGAUUUGCGCAACGAAAAUUAUUGAAUUUGACUCCCAACUAUAUGAUAUUCAAUGUUUCUUGGCGCGUACUCAAACCUCCCACUCAUGAAAACACAAUAGUCUACGUGAGUCAAAUCGCACACUAAACUUAGCCAUGACAAUCUCUGCUAUAUGAAAAUCUGGCAACCUCAAUCUUGACGCUUUGGCUCAGCUAUGGCAAAUUGUUUACACUUUGAACGGUAAAGAGUGGGAAAAGAACUAUGCUGGAUUGAAAAGCCUGUGCCAUAACUGUUGUGAGGCGAGAUUCCCUCCCGUAAAAAUUGAUAUUGAAGUUUCCAGCCUAGAGGUAAAAAGUGCGAAGAAAAAAAGGAUCAAUUGGGAACGCUUCUUCGAAUAACAAGUAUGUGUAUAGAACAUAAUUAAGAUAAAAGUAACUCAUUAUUCAUGUAUUUUUCUGGGAUUUGGAGAAAAUUAAAUUGAAACUGGGAACAAAAAUCUUGACGCUUUACUUCUCUGAAGGUUUCAACGUAAAUCGUAAUCUUCAACCUCUAUUUUCACAAACGAUAUUCCGUCGUGCUAAAAAAGAAAGCCGUAUGUACAUUCGGGAGUUGCCAAAUAAUAACGGGUAAAAAGUAUAUUUUUGAGGGAAUUUAUGUAUAUAGUUUUCCUUAAAAUUUGUCGAAUAAUUUAGGUUAACUUGCGGACAUAAUGUAUUGAAAAUUUUAAAGAAAAAUAUUCACAAUUUUCCCAGUAAAUUCGUUUUUAUUGAAGGGAAUGAGGCAACGUCUAAAGGCUCAUGCGGCGUUUAUCCUUAGCAGGGCAGUAUUAUACUCUUAAUUCUGAAUUUUGGAGAAGAAAUCUAUGCAAGAAUUUGAGCUUAAAAUGCACCUAACUCAAUUGAUCCUAUUUGGACUGCAUUUUGCAAUUGGGACCUAUAAAUUCUGGUUCAUCUGAAAAAAACACUUAUGUGCAUAGGGAAACUAAUGGCACAUACGUUGUUUUUAAACCAGGCCGGAAUUUAUAGGUCCAAAUUGCAAAAUGCAGUCUAUUUGAUCGGCUCCUCUCAGAUAAACUCGGUAUAGUGCUCCCAUUCCCCGGAGUUAGUUCCGAACUUUUGAGAUUUUCCUAAAUUUUUCCCGGAACUAUUGAAGAUCCCAAAGGGAUCUUUUGCAUUUUCCGGAACUUUCUCGGAAAUUUUCAAAAAAUUUAAAAAGAAUCCCGGAAAUUUAGACGGUCAUGAAAUGGGAGGAAUUGAGACAAAAAACUUCCGAAUUCCGAAACUUUUGACGGUCAUGGAAUUGGAGCAUUGAGACUUGGUCAUUGUACAGGUCAAUGAGCUGGUUUCACGUGGUAAACAUGGACCAGAUG
Molecule: long non-coding RNA, 2743 nt
Filed under: Bemisia tabaci
Lineage: Eukaryota; Metazoa; Arthropoda; Insecta; Hemiptera; Aleyrodidae
Description: lncRNA ENSSWEETPG001674
Source: RNAcentral